This is a long non-coding RNA of Portunus trituberculatus (swimming crab), 890 nucleotides long. RefSeq lists it as uncharacterized. The transcript has 3 exons. NCBI's taxonomy places the organism in Eukaryota, Metazoa, Arthropoda, Malacostraca, Decapoda, Portunidae. The record is from RefSeq and is a predicted model, not a curated record.
UAUUUUUUAUUUAUGAGUUGUGUUUUAUGUGUACAAUAUGUGUAAGACAUACUUGACAGUCAUGGCGGGAAAUUACAAAAAAAAAAAAUACUAACUACUCAGUCAUCCCUUCAUACUUUGCAAUCACUAAAUGCACAGACUUAAAGGAAUGUUAGGUUAGUAUACAAUCUAUUAGGUAAGUACAACGUCAGUGUGGUAGGUAGAAAGAUAUCGGAUUUCAACUGCGAGGAGGUUAGAGACAGUUCGACUCCUUUCCACCCGUUUACUUGAACCCUCAUGAACCGACGGCGACUCGAAGUGGUCGGCAGUAGCUACUGGUGUUGGAGAAGUGAUACGUGCUACUCUUGAACCUUAUCGUGUUUGAUAUCGGAGACCAGAUGGCUCUUCUCAAAAGUGACUGACUGGCAGCAGCGAUGGACCACCACAACUGUGAGGAAGACCCCUUGGCCCCUAGAUCCAAAUAACUACUGCAAAGCAAACCAAUGAGGGAGCAUGCAGCAAAAAUAACCAUGCACCACAACAGCACAAACACACAUCAAAAAGAGCCACUAAAGUGAGAACCACAGAAUGCUCCCUAAUUCACUAGAAAUGUUACAUCUUUGGCUGUGGUUGACAAUCAAUAGCUUCAGAUAGUUUAGGCAAUAAAAUAAAUGACAUACAAAUUGUCAAGUGAAUCCUUAAACACAGAUUGAGCUAGAAAUGUUUAGUGUGAAGUUAACAAAUAAAACAAUGAUGAUUGAUGAGGGAUAAGUUGAAACCUAGAAACAUUCAAGGUAUUCAAAAACCUAAUGGAACCUUAGAGCUCACUUGGAAAACAAAGAAUACAUAUGUAUAUACAGUAUAUUAGUAACAUAUGAUAUCAAACUUGAAGUUUGUUAAUAAAAUACUAG